GACGAACGCUGGCGGCGUGCUUAACACAUGCAAGUCGAACGGAGGAUUUAUUUCGGUAAAUCCUUAGUGGCGAACGGGUGAGUAACGCGUGGGCAAUCUGCCCUUCAGAUGGGGACAACAUCCCGAAAGGGGUGCUAAUACCGAAUACGAUCACGCUGCCGCAUGGCGGUGUGAUGAAAGAUGGCCUCUAUUUAUAAGCUAUCGCUGAAGGAUGAGCCUGCGUCUGAUUAGCUAGUUGGUGGGGUAACGGCCUACCAAGGCGAUGAUCAGUAGCCGGUCUGAGAGGAUGAACGGCCACAUUGGGACUGAGACACGGCCCGAACUCCUACGGGAGGCAGCAGUGGGGAAUAUUCCGCAAUGGACGAAAGUCUGACGGAGCAACGCCGCGUGAGUGAUGAAGGUUUUCGGACUGUAAAGCUCUGUUGUUUAGGACGAAAGUGCCUGUUGCGAACAGUUACAGGUAUUGACGGUACUGAACGAGGAAGCCACGGCUAACUACGUGCCAGCCGCCGCAGUAA
Molecule: ribosomal RNA, 518 nt
Filed under: uncultured bacterium
Lineage: Bacteria
Description: partial 16S ribosomal RNA
Rfam family: Bacterial small subunit ribosomal RNA
Source: RNAcentral